This 31-nucleotide non-coding RNA is filed under the name Rattus norvegicus (Norway rat). The record is from RNAcentral. Lineage: Eukaryota; Metazoa; Chordata; Mammalia; Rodentia; Muridae.
UAGGUGUGUGAAAUAAGCCAUAUAUUCAUGC